AUACGUAGGUGGCAAGCGUUGUCCGGAUUUACUGGGUGUAAAGGGCGUGUAGGCGGCGCGGUAAGUCUGGAGUGAAAGUCCUGCUUUCAAGGUGGGAAUUGCAUUGGAAACUGCGAAGCUGGAGUGUCGGAGGGGUAAGCGGAAUUCCUGGUGUAGCGGUGAAAUGCGUAGAGAUUGGGAGGAACACCAGUGGCGAAGGCGGGUAACUGGACUGCACCGGACGCUGAGGCGCGAAAGUGUGGGGAGAAAACAGGAUUAGAUACCCUGGUAGCCCACACUGUAACCUAUGAAUGGUAGGUGUAAGAGGUAUCGACCCCUCUUGUGCCGUAGUCAACACCAUAACCAUUACGCCUGGGAAGUACGGUCGCACGGCUGAAACUCAAACGAAUUGACGGGG
RNAcentral lists this ribosomal RNA (397 nucleotides) under uncultured bacterium. RNAcentral's name for it is "partial 16S ribosomal RNA". It matches the Rfam family "Bacterial small subunit ribosomal RNA", at positions 523 to 918 of the family's 1533-position model. The record is from RNAcentral.